This 485-nucleotide long non-coding RNA is filed under the name Homo sapiens (human). Its description in RNAcentral is "HSALNT0323185". Lineage: Eukaryota; Metazoa; Chordata; Mammalia; Primates; Hominidae. The record is from RNAcentral.
CAUGCCUUCUGCAGUGUUCUAUGAGUCAUAUGGUUCAUCCUGAUUUAGGCUGUAAGCAGAUUGCAUCAUGGCGCGGAUACCAGGAGUCCAUUUUGUGUUGCUCUAGAGGAACAUCUGAGGCUGCGCAAUCUCUAAGGAAAAGAGGUUUAUUUGGCUCACUGCUCUGUGGGCUGUACAAGAAGCAUGGCACCAGCAUCUGCUCCUGGUGAGAGGCUCAGGCUGCUUCCACUCAUGGCAGAAGCUUGCUCUGGCUAACAACCACUAUCAUCAAAGUUGUCUGAGGAAGACCUCCUGUUGCUGUGACUGACGGGACUCUUGGUGGAAGCCCUAUUCCCAUGUGCCCAUGGCUGCAGCUCCCCAAGGAAGCAGGACAUUGUUGGAUUCUCUAAGAAGCUCAGAGGAAGUUACUUCUCACUGUGGUGCCAUAUGGGAUUUGAAGUCGUUCUACUCAUGCUCUGUUUUUCAAUAAAGCUGCUUCUGCCUCU